GUCUGACUCUGUGCGACCCCAUAGAUGGCAGCCCACCAGGCUCCUCCUUCCCUGGGAUUCUCCAGGCAAGAACACUGGAGGGCAGAAACCUGGCCAGGGCAGGCCAUGGAGGCAGGAUUCAGUGGACGACUCAAACCCAGAGUCCUUCAUGAAUGGCUCUCUAGCCAUUCUCCACUCAGGAGCAUCUCCCAGGGAGAGUCCAGGUUAUAUUUAAGAAGACAGCAGAGGAAGAGGGAGAAGACUGCAAAUCAAGAGGCUUCUGAAAGAAAGGAGCUGCAAGGAAGACUGAGCACAGCCUCAGCAUCUUUUAGUUGUGGGGAUGAUAACAUACAGGGUAACCGUGGAAGCGCUGCAAGCCUUGUGUAGAAGAUGCUGGAGCCUUUGUCCCUCUGGGUCCCUGCCUGACUACAUGGAAUAGAAUUCUCUCCUGGCAGCCACUGGACUUCAUUGGAAUGCUUGGAAUGAUCUGGUUGCUCUUCUCUCUGCUAAGCUGCUGUGUUGUCCACCUCAGCAUGAAUCACCAACAAGGGCAUCUCUUUAUGUGGGUCUCUUUCCAGUGAUUUUGAACAUUGUGUGGGCUUCCCUCGUGGGUUCAGAUGGUAAAGAAUCUGCUUGCAAUGCAGGAGACCUGGAUUCUAUCCCUAGGUUGGGAAGAUCUUUUGGAGAAGGGAACGGCUACCCACUCCAGUAUCCUGGCCUGGAGAGUAUAUAUACAGUCCACGGGGUCGCAGAGUUGGACACGACUGAGCAACUUUCACUGUCACUUUACUAUUUUUUAAAGGCUGUGCUUGCACUUUCUGAUUGGAUUGAUAAGAAUGACAUCUGAAAUUUACUGAGCUCUUGUUACAUGUAGGGUACUUUUCUAACCACCAUAUGUGCAUUGAAUCAUUUAAUCCUCAAAACAAGCCAAUGAAGUAAAUACUCCUGUUCCCGAUAUCACAGAUGAGGACAAUAGCUUUCCCACUGCCACGUUACCAGCAAGAGUGGUGUCAGGAGUUGGAUGUAGGCUGCCUGUUUCCAACAGCUGGGCUGUUAAUCACAGCACUAUUCCUCAACACUCACUGUGAUCCAUUUACUAUAUUGUGGGUAUAUUUUUAUACCUUAAAAUGUCCUCUUACAACAGUAUUACCAAGUGCCCCAACAUAUUCAAUCUGAAUAUCCUGCUGUAUUUAAUCAACAUAUUUUUGGGGGAAUUUGUUUCUAAUUUUUUAUUUAAAUAAUGGCUUGCCAUGUACAUACAUUAUUUUUAGAGACGCUCACUACAGAUGGUGACUGCAGCCAUGAAAUUAAAAGACGCUUACUCCUUGGAAGGAAAGUUAUGACCAACCUAGAUAGCAUAUUCAAAAGCAGAGACAUUACUUUGCCAACAAAGGUCUGUCUAGUCAAGGCUAUGGUUUUUCCUGUGGUCAUGUAUGGAUG
This is a long non-coding RNA of Bos taurus (domestic cattle), 1419 nucleotides long. The record is from Ensembl. NCBI's taxonomy places the organism in Eukaryota, Metazoa, Chordata, Mammalia, Artiodactyla, Bovidae.